CCCUUAGAUGUUCUGGGCCGCACGCGCGCUACACUGACUGACUCAACGAGUUUACAACCUGUGCCGAAAGGUAUGGGUAAUCUUUUGAAAUUCAGUCGUGAUGGGGCUAGAUUAUUGCAACUAUUAAUCUUCAACGAGGAAUGCCUAGUAAGCGCGAAUCAUCAGUUCGCGUUGAUUACGUCCCUGCCCUUUGUACACACCGCCCGUCGCUACUACCGAUUGAACGUUUUAGUGAGGUAUUUGGACUGGACCUUCGGAGGUUCGCGCCUCCGUUGCUGUUCGGGAAGACGCCCAAACUUGAGCGUUUAGAGGAAGUAAAAGUCGUAACA
RNAcentral lists this ribosomal RNA (329 nucleotides) under uncultured eukaryote. RNAcentral describes it as "partial 18S ribosomal RNA". It matches the Rfam family "Eukaryotic small subunit ribosomal RNA", at positions 1470 to 1796 of the family's 1831-position model. The record is from RNAcentral.